This 141-nucleotide small RNA is filed under the name Xanthomonas campestris pv. campestris. RNAcentral's name for it is "ncRNA of unknown function". The record is from RNAcentral. Lineage: Bacteria; Pseudomonadati; Pseudomonadota; Gammaproteobacteria; Lysobacterales; Lysobacteraceae.
UACUGCCAAGGGUUUGUUGGCCCGGCGGGGGAUCCGAAGAAGCGGAUCCAAAACGUCAGGGUGAACCGAUGGUAUAUGCGUUGCGUCAGGAAUUAAAGUCCCGUUAAUGAAAAAGAAGAAAGACGUGAAAUCGGGCGACGA